GCCCGGAUAGCUCAGUCAGUAGAGCGUUAGGCUUUUAACCUAACGGUCGAGGGUUCGAGUCCCUAUUCGGGCG
This is a non-coding RNA of Trichonephila inaurata madagascariensis, 73 nucleotides long. The record is from the annotation of a GenBank genome assembly. Lineage: Eukaryota; Metazoa; Arthropoda; Arachnida; Araneae; Nephilidae.